UAAUACGUAGGAUGCGAGCGUUGUCCGGAAUUAUUGGGCGUAAAGCGAACGUAGGCGGUCUUUUAAGAUUGGUCUUAAAGACUGGGGCUCAACCCCAGGAAUGGACUGAUAACUGGGAGACUGGAGGACGUCAGAGGAAAGUGGAAUUCCGAGUGUAGCGGUGAAAUGCGUAGAUAUUCGGAGGAACACCAGUGGCGAAAGCGACUUUCUGGGGCGUUCCUGACGCUGAGGUUCGAAAGCUCGGGGAGCAAACAGGAUUAGAUACCCUGGUAGUCCGAGCCGUAAACGAUGGACACUAAGUGUCGAGGGUAUCGACCCCCUCGGUGCUGUAGCUAACGCGUUAAGUGUCCCGCCUGGGGAGUACGGUCGCAAGACUG
Molecule: ribosomal RNA, 377 nt
Filed under: uncultured bacterium
Lineage: Bacteria
Description: bacterial SSU rRNA
Rfam family: Bacterial small subunit ribosomal RNA
Source: RNAcentral